Molecule: ribosomal RNA, 726 nt
Filed under: uncultured bacterium
Lineage: Bacteria
Description: bacterial SSU rRNA
Rfam family: Bacterial small subunit ribosomal RNA
Source: RNAcentral
GUCGACGGGAGAAUUGCUAGCUUGCUAAUAAUUCUCUAGUGGCGCACGGGUGAGUAACACGUGAGUAACCUGCCCCCAAGAGUGGGAUAGCCCCGGGAAACUGGGAUUAAUACCGCAUAAAAUCGCAAGAUUAAAGCAGCAAUGCGCUUGGGGAUGGGCUCGCGUCCUAUUAGUUAGUUGGUAAGGUAACGGCUCACCAAGGCGAUGACGGGUAGCCGGUCUGAGAGGAUGUCCGGCCACACUGGAACUGAGACACGGUCCAGACACCUACGGGUGGCAGCAGUCGAGAAUCAUUCACAAUGGGGGAAACCCUGAUGGUGCGACGCCGCGUGGGGGAAUGAAGGUCUUCGGAUUGUAAACCCCUGUCAUGUGGGAGCAAAUUAAAAAGAUAGUACCACAAGAGGAAGAGACGGCUAACUCUGUGCCAGCAGCCGCGGUAAUACAGAGGUCUCAAGCGUUGUUCGGAAUCACUGGGCGUAAAGCGUGCGUAGGCGGUUUCGUAAGUCGUGUGUGAAAGGCGGGGGCUCAACCCCCGGACUGCACAUGAUACUGCGAGACUAGAGUAAUGGAGGGGGAACCGGAAUUCUCGGUGUAGCAGUGAAAUGCGUAGAUAUCGAGAGGAACACUCGUGGCGAAGGCGGGUUCCUGGACAUUAACUGACGCUGAGGCACGAAGGCCAGGGGAGCGAAAGGGAUUAGAUACCCCUGUAGUCCUGGCAGUAAACGG